UACCAGCACCCCGAGUGGUCGGGACGUUUAUUGGGCCUAAAGCAUCCGUAGCCGGUUCUACAAGUCUUCCGUUAAAUCCACCUGCUUAACAGAUGGGCUGCGGAAGAUACUAUGGAGCUAGGAGGCGGGAGAGGCAAGCGGUACUCGAUGGGUAGGGGUAAAAUCCAUUGAUCCAUUGAAGACCACCAGUGGCGAAGGCGGCUUGCCAGAACGCGCUCGACGGUGAGGGAUGAAAGCUGGGGGAGCAAACCGG
This 253-nucleotide ribosomal RNA is filed under the name uncultured bacterium. RNAcentral's name for it is "partial 16S ribosomal RNA". It matches the Rfam family "Archaeal small subunit ribosomal RNA", at positions 474 to 727 of the family's 1478-position model. The record is from RNAcentral.